GAGGAAUAUUGGUCAAUGGGCGAGAGCCUGAACCAGCCAAGUAGCGUGCAGGAUGACGGCCCUAUGGGUUGUAAACUGCUUUUGUAUGGGGAUAAAGUCAGUCACGUGUGAUUGUUUGCAGGUACCAUACGAAUAAGGACCGGCUAAUUCCGUGCCAGCAGCCGCGGUAAUACGGAAGGUCCGGGCGUUAUCCGGAUUUAUUGGGUUUAAAGGGAGCGUAGGCUGGAGAUUAAGUGUGUUGUGAAAUGUAGACGCUCAACGUCUGACUUGCAGCGCAUACUGGUUUCCUUGAGUACGCACAACGUUGGCGGAAUUCGUCGUGUAGCGGUGAAAUGCUUAGAUAUGACGAAGAACUCCGAUUGCGAAGGCAGCUGACGGGAGCGCAACUGACGCUGAAGCUCGAAGGUGCGGGUAUCGAACAGGAUUAGAUACCCUGGUAGUCCGCACAGUAAACGAUGGAUGCCCGCUGUUGGUACCUGGUAUCAGCGGCUAAGCGAAAGCAUUAAGCAUCCCACCUGGGGAGUACGCCGGCAACGGUG
This 539-nucleotide ribosomal RNA is filed under the name uncultured bacterium. RNAcentral describes it as "bacterial SSU rRNA". It matches the Rfam family "Bacterial small subunit ribosomal RNA", at positions 356 to 896 of the family's 1533-position model. The record is from RNAcentral.